GACGAACGCUGGCGGCGUGCUUAACACAUGCAAGUCGAACGAAGAGCGAUGGAAGCUUGCUUCUAUCAAUCUUAGUGGCGAACGGGUGAGUAACGCGUAAUCAACCUGCCCUUCAGAGGGGGACAACAGUUGGAAACGACUGCUAAUACCGCAUACGAUCUAAUCUCGGCAUCGAGGAUAGAUGAAAGGUGGCCUCUACAUGUAAGCUAUCACUGAAGGAGGGGAUUGCGUCUGAUUAGCUAGUUGGAGGGGUAACGGCCCACCAAGGCGAUGAUCAGUAGCCGGUCGGAGAGGAUGAACGGCCAGAUUGGGAGUGAGACACGGCCCAGACUCCUACGGGAGGCAGCAGUGGGGAAUCUUCCGCAAUGGACGAAAGUCUGACGGAGCAACGCCGCGUGAGUGAUGACGGCCUUCGGGUUGUAAAGCUCGGUUAAUCGGGACGAAAGGCCUUCUUGCGAAUAGUGAGAAGGAUUGACGGUACCGGAAUAGAAAGCCACGGCUAACUACGUG
RNAcentral lists this ribosomal RNA (510 nucleotides) under uncultured bacterium. RNAcentral's name for it is "partial 16S ribosomal RNA". It matches the Rfam family "Bacterial small subunit ribosomal RNA", at positions 28 to 507 of the family's 1533-position model. The record is from RNAcentral.